AGAUGUGGUAGUGGAGGGACAGCUUAUAGAAAGUUGAGAUGGUCCUAAUGUAGGUAAAUAGAAAUCUCAAACUGAUAUUGAUACUUUCAGGAUAUUUUGAAUAAUCUUGAAUCAUGUGACCUUGAGGAUGAUGAUCUUAUGCUUGAUGUGGAUCUGCCUGAGGAUGCACCUCUUGAAAAUGUGGAGUGUGACAAUAUGAACCGCUUUGACCGACCAGACAGAAAUGUUCGGCAGCCUCAGGAAGGUUUUUGGAAAAGGCCACCCCAGAGGUGGAGUGGACAGGAGCAUUACCACCUCAGCCACCCUGACCACUAUCAUCACCAUGGAAAAAGUGACUUGAGCAGCAUGAUGGAAGUGGUUCAUUGCAUGAUAUUCAACUGUCAUUGCCAUCCAGUCCAGAACCAGAAGAUGGUGAUAAAGUAUAUAAGAAUGAAGAUUUAUUAAAUGAAAUAAAACAACUUAAAGAGGAAAUAAAGAAAAAAGAUGAAAAGAUCCAACUAUUAGAACUUCAGCUUGCAACUCAGCAUAUCUGCCACCAAAAAUGUAAAGAGGAAAAAUGCACUUAUGCUGAUAAAUAUACCCAAACACCCUGGAGACGAAUUCCUCCUCAAGUACUACAGCCUUCCAGCAGCCUUCCCAGACCCACAGACCACACCCAGGGAAAACUAAUAAAGCCACAGCGUAUCGAGGCCCGCAGUGAAUGCGCAAUCCAAGACAUGCAUCAGGGUGGUGCACAUCCGGAAGAAAGCUUUACACACGUCUUGCACCAAGAAAGCAACUAUGGUUUGGAAGAGCAGCCUUUUUCAUCAGGCCCACAAUUAACAAUGGAUGUGGCUAAGAGUACACCUUCUGAAGCAAACUUAAACAUUACUGUAAAUGCUCAAGAGCCUUAUCAUUUGGCAAACAAUCAAAUUAGUGACAUGCAGUUUAUACCCACUUCUCUUCAGACACCUCCCGAGUCAAGUACAGUAGACCAGGCUAAGAGAGUUGGAAGAAAUCAGUCUCUGCCAGUGGGUUAUAUGUCUCAGCCCAAGUCCUUGCAGCUUUUAAAGCCAUCCAUAUUGAGUUCUUUGGUACCGCCUCCAGUUUCUGAAUCAUCUCCAAGUAGGACUCCCACUUGUAAAAAGUCACCAAUAAUCACAACAUGUAAUUCAGCAAAACUUCAGCCAACAUCUAGUCAAACAAAUCUUGCAAAUAAUCAGAAUCUGAAAGCAUCUAAGCUCCGCCCCCCCUCAGGCUCUUUCAAACAAAAACAAACAAACAGCCCCCAACUAGAGCCUCAAAGCUUCCAGGCCAAGACAAGCAUCCCAAGGCCACUAACACAACGAAAGGAAAUCAUGCAGAAUCCAAAUGGCAAUUUGCAUUCUGGGGAUUGUUUGGCCUCUAAUCGAUAUUCUCGUCUUCCUAAACCAAAGAUACAUUAAGUACAUAGCCAUCACCUGCCAAUUUGUUUCUUAAAAACAAUCUCUUCUGUAAUAGCUUUAUGUGCAGCUUGCAGCUUGCUACUGUGGUGGAGGUUCCAUUGAAAGCCUGCAAAUCUUAAAUUAAAAUGUGGAAGCUUC
This 1562-nucleotide small RNA is filed under the name Pan troglodytes (chimpanzee). RNAcentral describes it as "processed transcript". Lineage: Eukaryota; Metazoa; Chordata; Mammalia; Primates; Hominidae. The record is from RNAcentral.